GAUGAACGCUAGCGACAGGCUUAACACAUGCAAGUCGAGGGGCAGCACGGGAGUAGCAAUACAACUGGUGGCGACCGGCGCACGGGUGAGUAACGCGUAUGCAACCUACCUAUCAGAGGGGAAUAACCCGGCGAAAGUCGGACUAAUACCGCAUAAAACAGGGGCACCGCAUGGUGAUAUUUGUUAAAGAAAUUCGCUGAUAGAUGGGCAUGCGUUCCAUUAGGUAGUUGGUGAGGUAACGGCUCACCAAGCCGACGAUGGAUAGGGGAACUGAGAGGUUGGUCCCCCACACUGGUACUGAGACACGGACCAGACUCCUACGGGAGGCAGCAGUGAGGAAUAUUGGUCAAUGGGCGAGAGCCUGAACCAGCCAAGUCGCGUGAAGGAAGAAGGAUCUAUGGUUCGUAAACUUCUUUUGCAGGGGAAUAAAGUGCAGGACGUGUCCUGUUUUGUAUGUACCCUGAGAAUAAGGAUCGGCUAACUCCGUGCCAGCAGCCGUC
This 500-nucleotide ribosomal RNA is filed under the name uncultured bacterium. Its description in RNAcentral is "bacterial SSU rRNA". It matches the Rfam family "Bacterial small subunit ribosomal RNA", at positions 28 to 519 of the family's 1533-position model. The record is from RNAcentral.